RNAcentral lists this ribosomal RNA (477 nucleotides) under Octolasion lacteum. Its description in RNAcentral is "partial large subunit ribosomal RNA". It matches the Rfam family "Bacterial large subunit ribosomal RNA", at positions 1858 to 2620 of the family's 2925-position model. The record is from RNAcentral. Lineage: Eukaryota; Metazoa; Annelida; Clitellata; Crassiclitellata; Lumbricidae.
CCUGCCCAGCUGACUAAUAUUCNACGGCCGCGGUAUCCUAACCGNGCAAAGGUAGCAUAAUCNCUUGCCCGUUAAUUGCGGGCUAGAAUGAAAGGAUCUACGAAAUAAAAACUGUCUCUAUAAGCCUGAUAAAAUUAACCUCUAACUGAAGACUGUUAGAUACCGUCGAAGGACAAGAAGACCCUAUAGAGCUUCAUUUUAAUAGAAAAAUAAUAUCCUAAUAAAAUUCGGUUGGGGCGACCCGGGAUCAAAUAAUCAUCCCGCAAAACCAGAUAAAUAAAUCUCCAUAAUGACCCUUAAUUAAGAUCAAGAGAACAAGCUACCUUAGGGAUAACAGGCUAAUCCCACUAAAGAGUCCUUAUCAAUAGUGGGGUUUGGCACCUCGAUGUUGGCUUAGGGAAUCUAUGCGGCGCAAAAGUCACAUAAAGAUGGUUUGUUCAACCAAAAAUACCCUACGUGAUCUGAGUUCAGACCGGA